This 520-nucleotide ribosomal RNA is filed under the name uncultured delta proteobacterium. RNAcentral's name for it is "bacterial SSU rRNA". It matches the Rfam family "Bacterial small subunit ribosomal RNA", at positions 29 to 523 of the family's 1533-position model. Lineage: Bacteria; Deltaproteobacteria. The record is from RNAcentral.
AACGAACGCUGGCGGCGUGCCUAACACAUGCAAGUCGAACGAGAAAGGGGCUUCGGCCCUGAGUAAAGUUGGCGCACGGGUGAGUAACACGUAGGCAACCUGCCUCUAAGAUUGGAUAACUUGUCGAAAGACGAGCUAAUACCGGAUAAGACCACAGUUUCCCCGGAAACAGGGGUCAAAGGUAGCCUCUAUUUAUAAGCUAUCACUUAGAGAUGGGCCUGCGUACCAUUAGCUUGUUGGUGGGGGUAACGGGCCCACCAAGGCAAAGAUGGUUAGCUGGUCUGAGAGGAUGAUCAGCCACACUGGAACUGAGACACGGUCCAGACUCCUACGGGAGGCAGCAGUGGGGAAUAUUGCGCAAUGGCGCAAGCCUGACGCAGCAACGCCGCGUGAGUGAUGAAGGCCCUCGGGUCGUAAAGCUCUGUCGGAGGGAACGAAUGCUCUUGAGGUUAACAGCCUCGGGAAGUGACGGUACCCUCAAAGGAAGCACCGGCUAACUCUGUGCCAGCAGCCGCGGUAA